This 22-nucleotide microRNA is filed under the name Heligmosomoides polygyrus. RNAcentral's name for it is "hpo-miR-10075b-3p". Lineage: Eukaryota; Metazoa; Nematoda; Chromadorea; Rhabditida; Heligmosomidae. The record is from miRBase by way of RNAcentral.
UCAUGCCAGGAAUUCUCUGAGA